Molecule: non-coding RNA, 719 nt
Organism: Paramuricea clavata
Lineage: Eukaryota; Metazoa; Cnidaria; Anthozoa; Malacalcyonacea; Plexauridae
Source: the annotation of a GenBank genome assembly
GCUGUCUUGAUUUAAUAGUUGUUUCAUAUACGCAAAGGCCGUCGGGUUUUAAAUCCAUUAUAAAAUCAAUAUUUAAAACAAACUUAACUUCGUUUACGUCGGCUCCCUGCUUUUAGCUUAUUCUUUCGCCCUUUCUUUAUGAGAAAAGUUUUGAAAUUUACAAAAUCUUGCAAAAAUGCGAGCAAAAAAUUUAUCAAUCAUCAAAUCAAGAAAUAUUUGCUAUUUCGCUGUCGUCAUGCAGUCGUUAUAAUGCAAACUUUAAACUGGACCAAUCAGUGUCCGCUAUUCAUGACAGUCCGCCAUAUUUAUGAGUUCAGUGAGGAUGACCACCCAUGAACGAUGAACGGUGAGCCAUGCGCCCGCGUUAUUUGAUGAACUUUAGACUUCUCGAUUGCUUUCGUUUCCCCGGGUGUAAAUAGCCGGGGGGGAAUUUGUACCCUCACACGGCGCUUCGCGCCGUCGGCUCGGGGAUAAUUGAGCCAUAUGGGCCCAUAUUCACUGUCACCCCUUAUCCCCGAGCCGACGGCGCAAAGCGUCGUGCGAGAAUACUAAUUCCCCCCGGCUAUUUACAUUCGGGGAAAUGAAAGCAUUAGCGAAGUCUAAAGUUCAUCAAUUAUCGCGGGCGUGGGUGACCAACGAUGGGUGGUCAUCCUCACUGAUCUCAAAAAUAUGGCAGACUGUCAUGAAUAGCGGUCACUGAUUGGCCCAAUUUAAAGUUG